GCGAAAUGCGAUACGUGGUGCGAAUUGCAGAAUCCCGCGAACCAUCGAGUCUUUGAACGCAAGUUGCGCCCGAGGCCAAUCGGUCGAGGGCACGUCCGCCUGGGCGUCGAGC
This 112-nucleotide ribosomal RNA is filed under the name Phalaenopsis cochlearis. RNAcentral describes it as "5.8S ribosomal RNA". It matches the Rfam family "5.8S ribosomal RNA", at positions 48 to 154 of the family's 154-position model. From Rfam's summary of the family: 5.8S ribosomal RNA (5.8S rRNA) is a component of the large subunit of the eukaryotic ribosome. It is transcribed by RNA polymerase I as part of the 45S precursor that also contains 18S and 28S rRNA. Lineage: Eukaryota; Viridiplantae; Streptophyta; Magnoliopsida; Asparagales; Orchidaceae. The record is from RNAcentral.